GGCUCGGGACAGAAAUAUGGGGUUUGUGUGGCAUAAAAGACACGUAAAAACCCCUCGGGGCAGGAGGAAAUGACUCAGCACAACAGCUCUGUCCCUUCUAAUGGGAUCUGUGCUUCAAUCCUGCACUAAAUGAGUGUCCCCAUGUGCUCUCCACACUCCUCCCCCUCGUGCCUGGUCCUUAAAAGUCCCGACAUCAGCCCGUUCAUACAACUGCUCCUCACGCCUUGUGCCUCUCCCUGAACCUGCCCUGAGCUUUCUCCUGGCCCUUCUCUGGGGCUGUUUGUCCUGCUUUUCCCAAGUUCUCAACUUGCAAAGCCCCUCCAGAACUCCCUGGCUGAUCCUGCCUUUCCAGGUGGCCUCUCCUCGUCGCUGCCCUUGGAGCUACAUCCCUUCAGCAGAGAACAGAAAGCCAGGGUCUGCCCAGCUCAGAGUCCUCUUCCCUCCCCAGUCACCACUCCAGAUUACAGAGAGAGAAGCAAAAAAAUCACUGCUGGUGAGUUGUUAAUUUUUUUGCCAUAUUUUGGGGAGCUUCCAUUCAGCCCCGAUGCAGCUGUUGAAAUAGCAGGAGUUGCAUUUUUAUUUUGCCUAAUCCACUAAAAGAUGUUCCUGUUAUCCACAUCCAUGUGUGCUGGGCUCUUCUUAACCUCUGGACUCCAUCUGUGGGAUUCACAUAAAAUAUUGUUACUAUGACAGCCAUGAAAAAACAACCAGAAUAAAACUGGUGUGCUUGGGAAGUGUCCUUACGAAAGAUCCAUCAGAUUAUUGCGAUAGUUUCGUGUCCCUGGCUGUGGAGAAGGACACACAGCCUGGGCUGAAGGCUCAACUGCACUGGUGAGUACAAAGAGAGCAACUGGGAUCCCAGAAAGCCAGGCUUACAGGAAUUUAGGCCAGUUAGGGCAAUUCCAGAAGAAAUUGAGGCUGUAUAGUUUUAUUUAACACUGGAUGGAGUGGGAAGACCGGCAGAAACCUUCUGUAGUGAGUAAUUGUUUGGAUGCAGCAACAGCUCAGCAGCUCAGGUAAAUCCCUGAGUGAGCUUUGAGGAGCUCAGCUAAUCCAGGUUAGAUGUGGGAUAGAAAGGAAAACAAAGGGAAUGUGUCUUGGAUCUCAAAGAUCUGCACACUAAAUGUUUAAUGGCUGCUAAUUUCUUUUCCUCGUGAGGGACGUGCACGUGGCACAUCCUGCGGCUCCAAUUCCAGCUUUUUUAUGGUCCUGUGAGUCAUCCAGGCAGAAAGUGACUGAAUGCUUUGAUAAAUACCUAAUUCUAAUAACAGGAAUCAUAUAUGCCAAUAAUGCCCGGAAAAUGAUCCCUACUUCUGCAGCAGGACAGCGUGACAGCAUCAGCUGGGCUCUGGUUCCCUGAGCAAGUGAAAUGCCAGGGAAUUUUCUCAAACUUUACAGCACAGAAGGUCACCUGGAAGGGAAUUUAUCUAUUUAAGAGGAACAGUGGACUGGAAACAGCUUUACUGGACUUGAGCCUGUGGUUCCAGGAGGUCCAGCUGUGUCAAAUUCAAUUCUUGGAGCACUAAAUCCACCUUUAUCAUCCUAUCCCUGCUUGUCCUUGGGAUUAUCAUGACCCCAAGGUCUCUUUAUCUGUUAAAUUCCAACGUGGCUGAUGCAUUUGAACUUCCCCCUAGCAGAUCUCUCGCUGUACUACCUGGAUUUGCCUCUGCCAUCUUUCACCUGGGGAGGGCGGGUUGGAAAAUUAUAACCCUUAAAAAUAAAA
Long non-coding RNA from Neopelma chrysocephalum (saffron-crested tyrant-manakin), 1723 nucleotides. RefSeq lists it as uncharacterized. The record is from RefSeq and is a predicted model, not a curated record. The transcript has 3 exons. Lineage: Eukaryota; Metazoa; Chordata; Aves; Passeriformes; Pipridae.